Non-coding RNA from Myotis lucifugus (little brown bat), 73 nucleotides. The record is from Rfam. NCBI's taxonomy places the organism in Eukaryota, Metazoa, Chordata, Mammalia, Chiroptera, Vespertilionidae.
GCCUGUGUUGCUCAGUGGUAAGAGCAUCGACCCAUGCACAGAAGGAUCGCAGGUUCGAUUCCAGUCAAGGGUG